AACUGAAACAUCUAAGUAACCGGAGGAAGAGAAAACAAAAGUGAUUCCGUUAGUAGUGGCGAGCGAACGCGGAUUAGCCCAAACCAGUGUUGUUACGGCAAUGCUGGGGUUGUAGGACCACGAUAUUCGAAGCUAAGUGAAUUAGAACUGUUUGGAAAGACAGACCAUAGAGGGUGAUAGUCCCGUAUAAGUAAGCGAAGAUUAGAUAGUGGUAUCCUGAGUAGUGCGGGACACGAGUAAUCCUGUAUGAAUCCACCGGGACCAUCCGGUAAGGCUAAAUACUCCUGAGAGACCGAUAGUGAACUAGUACCGUGAGGGAAAGGUGAAAAGAACCCUAAGUAAGGGAGUGAAAGAGAUCCUGAAACCGUACGCCUACAAGCGGUCGGAGCACAUUUACUGUGUGACGGCGUGCCUUUUGCAUAAUGAGCCUACGAGUUACUGUUUCUAGCAAGGUUAAAUGUUUAAGACAUGGAGCCGUAGCGAAAGCGAGUCUGAAUAGGGCGCAUAGUUAGUAGUAGUAGACGCGAAACCGAGUGAUCUACCCAUGGGCAGGUUGAAGCUGUGGUAACACACAGUGGAGGACCGAACCAGUUGACGUUGAAAAGUCUUUGGAUGACCUGUGGGUAGGGGUGAAAGGCCAAUCAAACUCGGAAAUAGCUCGUACUCCCCGAAAUGCAUUUAGGUGCAGCGUUGAGCGAAAGUUUUAUAGAGGUAGAGCUACUGAUUGGAUGCGGGGGCUUCACCGCCUACCAAUUCCUGACAAACUCCGAAUGCU
RNAcentral lists this ribosomal RNA (775 nucleotides) under uncultured bacterium. Its description in RNAcentral is "bacterial LSU rRNA". It matches the Rfam family "Bacterial large subunit ribosomal RNA", at positions 191 to 964 of the family's 2925-position model. The record is from RNAcentral.